AGAGCGAACGCUGGCGGCAGGCUUAACACAUGCAAGUCGAACGGACCCUUCGGGGUUAGUGGCGGACGGGUGAGUAACACGUGGGAACGUGCCCUUAGGUUCGGAACAACACAGGGAAACUUGUGCUAAUACCGGAUAAGCCCUUACGGGGAAAGAUUUAUCGCCUUUGGAGCGGCCCGCGUCUGAUUAGCUUGUUGGUGAGGUAAAGGCUCACCAAGGCUACGAUCAGUAGCUGGU
Molecule: ribosomal RNA, 237 nt
Filed under: uncultured bacterium
Lineage: Bacteria
Description: partial small subunit ribosomal RNA
Rfam family: Bacterial small subunit ribosomal RNA
Source: RNAcentral